AUUGUGUUCAAAGAGCCAUGAGAACUACUGAAGACUUUGUAAGCUCAGGAGUGCUGCAGUUCCACAUGUUUUUGACAGUUACUCAGUCCUUAGAGCCAGGAGACUCAUUCACAAAGCCACUCAAUCUGGGAAAAUAGAAGUGGGAUUUGUCAGAUGCCUGUAUGAACCAAGGGUAUCAUGUUAUACUGUGUGCUUAUUGAUUCAACCUGUUCUUCCAAUUCUCUUCACCACAAGGAAAUAAAAUGGUUUAAUGCUAACUAUAGUGAUCCCAAUUACAGUGAUUCUAACAAACUACAUACAGCAAGAUAUUUCAUGGUGUUCUUAACCUUGACCUAGAGUUGCAUUCUUGAGCUGACAAUGGCAAUGACCUGUGAAAAUGAGAGGGGACGCUUGACUUUCCACAUGGGUGUAGCCCCCCCCCAAGCCAAAAUUGAACUUAAAGUCAGUAGGAUUGAAAAUGCCCUCUAGGAGAGUGGUUCAGAUGACUAGAAUUGAGUCCUCCUGGAUUCAAAUCUAGCCAGUAUCAAUGAGAUCCAAGGAGCAGGCAACUGAGCCCAGGAGACAGGGCUACCCACUUGGGCCACAAUUUCACCACUGCCGUGAGGAGGAACAGGCCAGGUUACGCCAAGGCCCCUGCUUCUUUGGUGACUCACUCCUCCUAGCCCUACUCCAGUUCAUAGCCAACAGGCUAUCAUACUUCCGCAACAUUUCUCAGGUGUCAGACACUGUUCUAAGCAAUGGAGAUGAUAAUGGUACGGACAUUGUGACAGUGUGAGAACAAAUGAACCUUAUUCUCAAAUGUACGUACAGGUACUUAUAUGGGAAGAGAAAGUGUUUAGUGCUAAUAUAUGCAUUUUCCACUUCCUUUACUCUCUAUACAUUUAUAUUUAGUUUUCAUGAUACACAUAUUAUUAUCCUCAUUUUUAUCUCCAUUUACCUGCACUAUCCCCAGUAAUAAUAUUGACAUUGUGAAAAUCAAUAACAUUAUACACACACAGUGUUUAGUCCUUACAUGUAGAAAAGCUAUGUAUAGAUAUAAAGAUAUAGACAGGGACAUCACAACGUCCAUAUUAUUCUCAUCUCCAUUUUCAGAUAAGUGACAGAUUGGGCACGAGGGGUUAAAUAACGUACCCAAGACUGUGCAGCUGAAAAGAAGCCCCAGGGUCUGCGCUCACCUCCUCCUAAGGCCUCCACAAUAGGUGCAAAGCAGGUGCAUGAACCCAGCCCACCGGCCUCAGUAAUUGGUCUGAGGGUAGAUCGUUCACCCAGGCUGGCCCAAUAAUUGGAUGAUGGUCCAUGGCCACCAACGGGUCCAGACUCUGUGGAUAUGGUCCAGGUGUGGUCCUAACGGAAGAUUUCCUGAGAGUUUUUGUCUCUCCAGAGGCCAGAAUGAGAAAAAGAAAAGCAAGGAAUUGUGGAUGCAUUGAAGCCAGUCUGGUAUAGAAAACAAGGGGAAGAGCGAGGCCCAAAAUCAGAGAGAGGGAAGAGCGAGAGGAAGAAUAAGUGAAUCUUGGGGGAGCUCAGAUCCGUCUGUGCCUAUAUCUGCCCUUCUUUCCCAAGGCUUGGAUUUCAGCUCUUCCGUUGACUCUGAGAGCAACUUGGAAAUCUCUGGCUGGGCUGGUUCUAGUUGGGUUCCCAUCCCUUGUUACCAAAGUUGCCCAUACCAACAGGCUGCUGGCUAGUAGAGAUCAGCACAGAUUUCCUGCCACCACCCCGCCCACUCAGAGCGAGGUGCAAGUGCCAAAAGUAACCCUAAUAAGUCUAAGUGUUUGUGUCCCCUGAGGGACUUUGAAUACAAUGGUUAAGUUCCAAGGAAUCAUUCAUUCAACAGCUUCGGAACAUCUGGGUAUUAUCUGAACUCAGUGAAUCUCUGCCUUCUGUUAUUAAUUGGAGCAGUUGCCCUCAGCAGCCACCAGCAGAAAGUGGGCACCAUGGCUCAGUAUGCUUUUCCCUGGCUGCCCAUCAGUCUGCAUUCUCCGUGGUGCUCAUUGUCCUUUGAAUCUUUGUCCAUGAGGUGUCUACUCAAUUUUAAUCAUCGAUAAUAGUAUUUCUAUCAUCGAGAGGACAUAAGUCAUCUGGAAUAACAAAGAGCGACCUUGGCCAGGUAGGUAGGGGAAAAAGUGCUGUGAAUUUUACAUUGAUUUCCUGCAUUUGGCUCAAGUGCUGUUUUUCUCUGACGUUGUCUUCUUUCUAGGUUAUAUGUAAUGUUAUUACAAUUGGUCACUCAACACAUUUUUCCUGCAUGUCUACUCUAUGUUAGCCAAUGGGCUGGGUUGUCUGGAGUGUGAAGAUGAAAGAGGUAGCAUCAUAGCCUUCAAGGAGAUUCCUCUAACAGUGGAUUCAAGUACAGCAUAAGACACUGUUGAUGGCUUCCUCAGCAUCUAGUCCUUCUUUCUUCUUCACAGACACCUGCUAUUGCUCAGCUACCUGUCUUGGGCUGCCUACAGGCCCUGGGACAAGCUGACCCAUUCCUGGCUUGAGGACUGGGCACAAGGCUCCUGAGAACCCCCUUCACCUUGCCAAGACUGGUUACUGCAGGAACCCAGGCUGAGCUGGUCAGCCCAUGGCCUUCCCGUCUAGCAAGACUGACUCAGAAGCAAAGAGCUGAGCUCAAAGAGGUCACUGAGAUCAAGAAGGAAAUUUUGCUAUCUCUUUCUGGCCUGGGAUAUAAUGAAACCAUUACAACUGUCACAUGUCCACUUGGAGAUGGUGCCAGCCCCAGAGGAAGGACAAGUCAAAAUGAAUUACAGAGAAACUGAGCAAAAGCAUCCUGAUCAAGCCAAGCCUGAAGUCCAACCAAUCUCUGCCUUCCCAGCAGCAAGAGUCUAUAUUCUAUUUCUUCAUUACUUAAGGAAGUUUGAGUUGAUUUCAUUCUAAUGGAUAGAGACAGAGGAACGGACACUCAGCUAGCAAUGUAAUAGAUCCAGAGAGCGUUAAAGGAACUCUGAGGAGGGGUACCUGCGUAUCCCAGUGGGGAGGGGUUGCAUAGACAGGUCAGGGAGGCCCUCUGGGGAAAAGACACCCAAGUGAAGCCUUAAAGGAUAAAUCAGAGACAAACAAAUGAGGGAAGGGGUUAGGGCAAGAGAGCCUUUCUGCCAUAGAGGGAACCAUCAGACAGAAACAGAAGGAAAAUGGCACAGGAUCAACAUGCCCAAGUCACAGAUUACAACGUGGAAAGUAGACAGUGAGGCUGGAGCCAUAUCACGAAAGAUUUGGAGGCCAUGAAAAGGACCAUGAACUUGACCUGCAGAUGACGGGAGGCAGGCUUGGCAUCAUCAGAUUCACAUAGUAGACAGGUCCCUCUGAUACCCUGGCAGAAGACAGCCCGGAGGUCUGAGACAGCUUCUCCACUGCAUCUUUGCAAAAGCAGCCAGUGGCUCUAUGUAAAUUAAUGAAUGUGGCUGGGUUCCAGUAAAAUGAUUUUUAUAAACAUAGGCUCUGUCUGACUUCAGAUUUCCAGCACCUUGGAAUUUCAUAAAAAGCACACAUCCAAGAGGAUGAGUCUCCUGCUCAUAAUCUUCCUGUGAACUCCCAUCACACUUAGAACAGAUCUCAACUUUCCCAAAGCCUCCCAGGCUCCGAGCAGCCCGCCUCCCUUACUGACUUUGCCUCCAGCCGGUCCUGCCCUUAUGAAGGUCUUUCCAACUACAGUGGCCUUCCGCUGACUCUUGGUUGCUCCUAGUUUAUUCCCACCUGAGGUCCCCAGCACUAGCUUCUCCCUCUGUGUGGAACGCUCUUCCCCCAGCAAUGCGCAUGGCUCCCUCCUUUCUAUGAUCCAUGUCUCUGUUCAAAUGUCACUCCCCAGAGACAGUUUUUCUGACUACUUUUUUUUUUUUUUGGCCAUAUGUGUGGCAUAUGGAAUGUCCCAGGAUAAGGGUCGAAUCGGAGCUGUAGCCACCGGCCUACACCACAUCACAGCAAUGCCAGAUCUGAGCCACAUCUGUGACCUACACUAAGCUCAUGGCAAUGCUGGAUCCUUAACCCACUGAGUGAGGUCAGGGAUCAAACCUUUGUCCUCACGGAUACCAAUCAUGUUUGUUGCCGCUGAGCCACAACAGCGAGUCCUGACCACUCUUGCUAAAUUAGCCCCCUCUCCUCCCCCAGCAAGCUCUGUCCCCUGAACUUGAUAAAUUCUUCUCUUCACAGCCGUUAUUACUUCCUGACUUUACAGGGUAUGUUUGUUUGUUUACUGAUUUCUUAUCUCUUUUUCUCCCUGGAAGGCAGCUCCAUUAGAGCAGGUAAUUUUGUCUUGCUCAUGGUUACAGCCCCAGUCUAGAAUAUUGCCUGGUAUAUGAUAGACAAAGAGUAUCUAUCAAAUAGCUGAAUGAUUCCAUUUCUGCCUUAGAUCACCAGAGCAACCCACAGGGCGGGGACCUUUUCGGGAGAGAUUGAAAGCCUAUUUGAGAUUGUGCCCAUCAUUUCCUAUGCAGAGACCUUCAUGUUUCUCACUGAGUGCCUUCAGCUCUUCUCACGGCCUCUUUGCAUCCUAUGACACCUCCCCUAGCCUCAUCCUAGGAAAAUCCAGAAUGCUCUUAUAUCAGGAUUUGCAAUAGCCAGCAAAGUCAAGUGUCCAAAAUUAACAAACAGGCCUCUAGUUUCCCUAAAGUCGAAGGAAGUUCAAGAUGUUAGUGUGACAUAGGGACAGAGGCAAGAAGGAUGCAGGUCAGGAGGGGGAAGAGUCCAGUGGAGGCUGGUCUGAUGAGGUUUAAGGAUCCCAACGACAUCACCGAGUGUUCAAGAGCAAUGGAAUCUAUCCUCGACAUCGUCUAGCCCUUGUGCUGCUUUAGCUGUGGGCCUGGACCAGUAGCAUCCCAUCACCUGGGAGCUUUUAGCAGCCCACCAUCUGGGGUCUCAGGUUCCCGACCUCCUGAAUCAGACCCUGCGUGAGAGCAAAGCCCCAGGCAAUUUGUGGGCACAUCCUAAAGUCUCACUCUAGCCCAUCCGCCUGACAGUUCAAUUUCUGAGGUUUUUUGUUUUGUCCACCAAGCUUCAUCUUGCUCAGAAUUAUUACAGGAUGUCAUUUGUUUCCCACAUUUAAAAAGACAAGGGGUGUC
Molecule: long non-coding RNA, 5054 nt
Filed under: Sus scrofa (pig)
Lineage: Eukaryota; Metazoa; Chordata; Mammalia; Artiodactyla; Suidae
Description: lncRNA (ENSSSCG00000055660.1)
Source: RNAcentral